Non-coding RNA from Camponotus floridanus (Florida carpenter ant), 60 nucleotides. NCBI's taxonomy places the organism in Eukaryota, Metazoa, Arthropoda, Insecta, Hymenoptera, Formicidae. The record is from Rfam.
AUAGCUCAGUGGUUUAGAGCAGUUGCCCGGCAAGCGAAAGACUCGGGUUCGAUUUCCGAU